UACGGGGGGGGCAAGCGUUGUUCGGAAUUACUGGGCGUAAAGGGCUCGUAGGUGGCCAACUAAGUCGGACGUGAAAUCCCUCGGCUUAACCGGGGAACUGCGUCCGAUACUGGUUGGCUUGAGUUUGGGAGAGGGAUGCGGAAUUCCAGGUGUAGCGGUGAAAUGCGUAGAUAUCAGGAAGAACACCCGUGGCGAAGGCGGCUCUCUGGGACGGUACUGACGCUGAGACGCGAAAGCGUGGGGAGCGAACAGG
RNAcentral lists this ribosomal RNA (253 nucleotides) under uncultured bacterium. Its description in RNAcentral is "partial 16S ribosomal RNA". It matches the Rfam family "Bacterial small subunit ribosomal RNA", at positions 524 to 776 of the family's 1533-position model. The record is from RNAcentral.